AGUGAACGCUGGCGGUAGGCCUAACACAUGCAAGUCAAACGGCGGCACAGGAGAGCUUGCUCUCUGGGUGGCGAGUGGCGGACGGGUGAGGAAUACAUCGGAAUCUACUUUUUCGUGGGGGAUAACGUAGGGAAACUUACGCUAAUACCGCAUACGACCUACGGGUGAAAGCAGGGGACCUUCGGGCCUUGCGCGAUUGAAUGAGCCGAUGUCGGAUUAGCUAGUUGGCGGGGUAAAGGCCCACCAAGGCGACGAUCCGUAGCUGGUCUGAGAGGAUGAUCAGCCACACUGGAACUGAGACACGGUCCAGACUCCUACGGGAGGCAGCAGUGGGGAAUAUUGGACAAUGGGCGCAAGCCUGAUCCAGCCAUACCGCGUGGGUGAAGAAGGCCUUCGGGUUGUAAAGCCCUUUUGUUGGGAAAGAAAUCCAGCUGGCUAAUACCCGGUUGGGAUGACGGUACCCAAAGAGUAAGCACCGGCUAACUUCGUGCCAGCCGCCGCUGUAA
This 506-nucleotide ribosomal RNA is filed under the name uncultured bacterium. RNAcentral's name for it is "partial 16S ribosomal RNA". It matches the Rfam family "Bacterial small subunit ribosomal RNA", at positions 29 to 523 of the family's 1533-position model. The record is from RNAcentral.